GUGCUUGCUUCUGCAGCACAUAUACUAAAAUGGCAAUGAUACAGAGAAGAUUAGCAUGACCUCUGUGCAAGGAUGAUGCAAAUUUGUGAAGUGUUCCAUAUUUAA
This is a small nuclear RNA of Myotis daubentonii (Daubenton's bat), 105 nucleotides long. Lineage: Eukaryota; Metazoa; Chordata; Mammalia; Chiroptera; Vespertilionidae. The record is from RefSeq and is a predicted model, not a curated record.